CCUACGGGAGGCAGCAGUAAGGAAUCUUGCGCAAUGGGCGAAAGCCUGACGCAGCGACGCCGCGUGGGCGAUGAAGGCCUUCGGGUUGUAAAGCCCUUUUCUGGGGGACGAGGAAGGACGGUACCCCAGGAAUAAGUCACGGCUAACUACGUGCCAGCAGCCGCGGUAAAACGUAGGUGGCAAGCGUUAUCCGGAAUCACUGGGCGUAAAGGGCGUCUAGGCGGACGGGUAAGUCGUGCGUGAAAGCUUCCGGCUCAACCGGGAGAGGUCGUACGAUACUGCCUGUCUUGAGGGUCGGAGAGGGCCGUGGAAUUCCCGGUGUAGGGGUGGAAUGCGUAGAUAUCGGGAGGAACACCAGUGGCGAGGGCGGCCUUCUGGUCUGCCCCUGACACUCAGGCGCGAAAGCGUGGGGAGCAAACAGGAUUAGAUCCCC
RNAcentral lists this ribosomal RNA (433 nucleotides) under uncultured Anaerolineae bacterium. Its description in RNAcentral is "partial 16S ribosomal RNA". It matches the Rfam family "Bacterial small subunit ribosomal RNA", at positions 338 to 787 of the family's 1533-position model. Lineage: Bacteria; Bacillati; Chloroflexota; Anaerolineae. The record is from RNAcentral.